AACGAACGCUGGCGGCAUGCCUAACACAUGCAAGUCGAACGAGACCUUCGGGUCUAGUGGCGCACGGGUGCGUAACGCGUGGGAACCUGCCCUUAGGUUCGGAAUAACUCCCCGAAAGGGGUGCUGAUACCGGAUAAUGUCUUCGGACCAAAGAUUUAUCGCCUUUGGAUGGGCCCGCGUUGGAUUAGCUAGUUGGUAGGGUAAAAGCCUACCAAGGCGACGAUCCAUAGCUGGUCUGAGAGGAUGAUCAGCCACACUGGGACUGAGACACGGCCCAGACUCCUACGGGAGGUAGCAGUGGGGAAUAUUGGACAAUGGGCGAAAGCCUGAUCCAGCAAUGCCGCGUGAGUGAUGAAGGCCUUAGGGUUGUAAAGCUCUUUUACCCGGGAUGAUAAUGACAGUACCGGGAGAAUAAGCUCCGGCUAACUCCGUG
RNAcentral lists this ribosomal RNA (433 nucleotides) under uncultured bacterium. RNAcentral's name for it is "partial 16S ribosomal RNA". It matches the Rfam family "Bacterial small subunit ribosomal RNA", at positions 29 to 507 of the family's 1533-position model. The record is from RNAcentral.